Molecule: ribosomal RNA, 490 nt
Filed under: uncultured bacterium
Lineage: Bacteria
Description: partial 16S ribosomal RNA
Rfam family: Bacterial small subunit ribosomal RNA
Source: RNAcentral
AUUGAACGCUGGCGGCAGGCCUAACACAUGCAAGUCGAACGGUAACAGGAAACAGCUUGCUGUUUCGCUGACGAGUGGCGGACGGGUGAGUAAUGUCUGGGAAACUGCCUGAUGGAGGGGGAUAACUACUGGAAACGGUAGCUAAUACCGCAUAACGUCGCAAGACCAAAGAGGGGGACCUUCGGGCCUCUUGCCAUCGGAUGUGCCCAGAUGGGAUUAGCUAGUAGGUGGGGUAACGGCUCACCUAGGCGACGAUCCCUAGCUGGUCUGAGAGGAUGACCAGCCACACUGGAACUGAGACACGGUCCAGACUCCUACGGGAGGCGGCAGUGGGGAAUAUUGCACAAAGGGCGCAAGCCUGAUGCAGCCAUGCCGCGUGUAUGAAGAAGGCCUUCGGGUUGUAAAGUACUUUCAGCGGGGAUGAAGGGAGUAAAGUUAAUACCUUUGCUCAUUGACGUUACCCGCAGAAGAAGCACCGGCUAACUCCGUG